This is a non-coding RNA of 927 nucleotides. It matches the Rfam family "Bacterial small subunit ribosomal RNA".
UCCUGGCCUUAUUGUCAGCUGCUUCUUAACUUACACAUGCAAGUGUCAGCACACCCGUGAGAACGCCCUUUACCCCUUCCACAGGAUAAGGAGCUGGUAUCAGGCACAGAAAUCUUGCCCAAAACACCUAGCUUUGCCACGCCCUCAAGGGUAUUCAGCAGUGAUUAACAUUGUUCAUAAGCGCCAGCUUGACCCAGUUAAAGAAAACAGAGCCGGCUAACCCGGUGCCAGCCGCCGCGGCUACACCGUGGGGCCCAAGUUGACAACAUUCGGCGUUAAGCGUGUUUAAAGUGAAAGCCAAAGAUUAGAAUUAAACUUCAACCAAGUUGUGACAUACUUGUUUUUAGGAAGAACAGAAACGAAAGUUAUUCUAAAACAACCACUUGAAUCCACGACAGCUAGGGCACAAACUGGGAUUAGGUACCCCACUAUGCCUAGCCGUAAAAUAUUAACCUACACCUUAUCCGCCAGGGGAAUUACGAGCCCAAGCUUAAAACCCAAAGGACUUGACGGUGUCCCACCCACCUAGAGGAGCCUGUUCUAUAAUCGAUUCCCCCCGAAUACACCUCACCAUUUCUAGCUUUCUCAGCCUGUAUACCUCCGUCGCAAGCUUACCAUGUGAACGUUUUCCUAGUGAGCAGAAAAAUCAUUUCAUAAAUACGUCAGGUCAAGGUGCAGCCCACGAAAUGGGAAGCAAUGGGCUACAAUUUCUACCUUAGAACACACGAAAGACCACAUGCAACUCAGUCAUGAAGGCGGAUUUAGCAGUAAAAAGAAAAUAGAGAGUUCUUUUUAAUCAGGCGCUGGGACGCGUACACACCGCCCGUCACCCUCUUCAAACGCCCACAUCCAGUAUUUAACAUAAAACUGCAUUACAGAAGAGGUAAGUCGUAACACGGUAAGCGUACUGGAAAGUGCGCUUGGAUA